UACGUAGGGGGCUAGCGUUGUCCGGAAUCAUUGGGCGUAAAGCGCGUGUAGGCGGUCCGGUAAGUCCGCUGUGAAAGUCGGGGGCUCAACCCUCGGAUGCCGGUGGAUACUGUCGGGCUUGAGUACGGAAGAGGCGAGUGGAAUUCCCGGUGUAGCGGUGAAAUGCGCAGAUAUCGGGAAGAACACCUAUGGCGAAGGCAGCUCUCUGGGACGGUACUGACGCUGAGACGCGAAAGCGUGGGGAGCGAACAGG
This 253-nucleotide ribosomal RNA is filed under the name uncultured bacterium. Its description in RNAcentral is "partial 16S ribosomal RNA". It matches the Rfam family "Bacterial small subunit ribosomal RNA", at positions 524 to 776 of the family's 1533-position model. The record is from RNAcentral.